UUGGAUCCAGACUUUGAUCCUGGCUCAGGAUAAACGCUGGCGGCGCACAUAAGACAUGCAAGUCGAACGGAAGUCGUUAUAUUUGAUUCUGAUUGAAAGAUUUAUCCGGAUUGAAGAUGAUUUUAUAACAAUGGCUUUAGUGGCGGACUGGUGAGUAACGCGUAAGCAAUCUGCCUAUUAGAGGGGAAUAACAGUGAGAAAUCAUUGCUAAUACCGCAUAUGCCAUGAAUAUCGCAUGAUAAAAAUGGGAAAGGAGUAAUCCGCUAAUAGAUGAGCUUGCGUCUGAUUAGCUAGUUGGUGGGGUAACGGCCUACCAAGGUAACGAUCAGUAGCCGGACUGAGAGGUUGAACGGCCACAUUGGGACUGAGAUACGGCCCAGACUCCUACGGGAGGCAGCAGUCGGGAAUAUUGCGCAAUGGAGGAAACUCUGACGCAGUGACGCCGCGUAUAGGAUGAAGGUUUUCGGAUUGUAAACUAUUGUCGUUAGGGAAGAUAAAAGACAGUACCUAAGGAGGAAGCUCCGGCUAACUACGUGCCAGCAGCCGCGGUAAUACGUAGGGAGCAAGCGUUAUCCGGAUUUAUUGGGUGUAAAGGGUGCGUAGACGGGAAAUUAAGUUAGUUGUGAAAUCCCUCGGCUCAACUGAGGAACUGCAACUAAAACUGGUUUUCUUGAGUGCAGGAGAGGAAAGAGGAAUUCCUAGUGUAGCGGUGAAAUGCGUAGAUAUUAGGAGGAACACCAGUGGCGAAGGCGUCUUUCUGGACUGUAACUGACGUUGAGGCACGAAAGUGUGGGGAGCAAACAGGAUUAGAUACCCUGGUAGUCCACACCGUAAACGAUGGAUACUAGGUGUAGGAUGUGUUAAACAUUCUGUGCCGUCGCUAACGCAGUAAGUAUCCCACCUGGGGAGUACGGCCGCAAGGUUGCAACUCAAAGGAAUUGACGGA
This 946-nucleotide ribosomal RNA is filed under the name uncultured Bacillota bacterium. RNAcentral describes it as "bacterial SSU rRNA". It matches the Rfam family "Bacterial small subunit ribosomal RNA", at positions 1 to 917 of the family's 1533-position model. Lineage: Bacteria; Bacillati; Bacillota. The record is from RNAcentral.